CUUUGGGAAACGUAAAGCGCACUUUCAGCAUUCAAGGUAAAAUUCUGACACACAGGAGUAUGGUAAUAUACGAAGAGUGUGAGUUAAUGAGUUAAUGAGACCGUUUUCCAGAGCUGACGGUGACUCAGGAAGAGCUGAAGGAUUGUGGGAAGCAGAAGAAGCUGUGUGUGACGUCUAUCGCGGACUGUCUCUAUACAGCAUCAGACGGAGCUCCUCGAGUUCCCAGAACAUCUGAGAACUUCCUGAACACAUCAUGCCACUAUCUGAUGCAAGAGGAGUCGUUGACCUGCAGAUGGGCUCAGACAAACCACAUCAGAUCACAAACCAUCAGCAGCUUAAUUUUCAGCCAGUAAACGUGUCUGACGAGUGUCAUCAGUACUGCUGCUGAUAAUAAUAAUGAAUAAACGCCUCUAUGAAUCCACCUGUUAAUGUAGUUUUUGUUUCACAGAGCUGAGGACUUCCACCACUGUCCCUCUAUUUUAAAAAUAUAUUCAACUUUCAAUUUAACCAUCAAGUCAAAGAGUGUCUUCAGCCAGAAAGAGCAGUUCUCUGACGUCUAUCUGCUGGUCAUUCGGGAUAUAAUCCAGGCUCCUCGGCCGCUGAUCUCGUCUGUUAACGUCACUGAUUCGUCAAUCAACGUCACAUGGACCAGCGGGAAAAUACCAGUCACUAAAUGCAAAAUCCGUUACAAACGUCUCAACACAGAGUCAUGGGCCGAGGUCAGAAAUGACAGAACAUGCUUGAAAUUUAUUUAUUUUUUUUUAUUAAUUAAUUUUCAUUUUA
Long non-coding RNA from Sinocyclocheilus anshuiensis, 783 nucleotides. The record is from Ensembl. NCBI's taxonomy places the organism in Eukaryota, Metazoa, Chordata, Actinopteri, Cypriniformes, Cyprinidae.